UAAGCGGAGGAAAAGAAACUAACUAGGAUUCCCUUAGUAACGGCGAGUGAACCGGGAUGAGCUCAAAUUUAAAAUCUGGCGUCUUUCAGGCGUCCGAGUUGUAAUCUAUAGAGGCGUUUUCCGCGCCGGACCGCGUCCAAGUCUCUUGGAAUAGAGUAUCAAAGAGGGUGACAAUCCCGUACUUGACGCGACAACCGGUGCUCUGUGAUACGUUCUCAAUGAGUCGAGUUGUUUGGGAAUGCAGCUCUAAAUGGGUGGUAAAUUCCAUCUAAGGCUAAAUAUUGGCGAGAGACCGAUAGCGAACAAGUACCGUGAGGGAAAGAUGAAAAGCACUUUGGAAAGAGAGUUAAACAGCACGUGAAAUUGUUAAAAGGGAAACGAUUGAAGUCAGUCGUGUGAAAGGUAUUCAGCCGUCUCUGGCGGUGUAUUUGCCUUUCACGGGUCAACAUCAGUUUGAUCCGGUAGAAAAAGGCGGGAGGAAGGUGGCACCCUCGGGUGUGUUAUAGCCUCCUGUCAUAUGUGCCGGACCAGACUGAGGAACGCAGCUUGCCGCAAGGCCGGGGUUCGCCCACGUACAAGCUUAGGAUGUUGACAUAAUGGCUUUAAACGACCCGUCUUGAAACAC
Molecule: ribosomal RNA, 625 nt
Filed under: Vishniacozyma victoriae
Lineage: Eukaryota; Fungi; Basidiomycota; Tremellomycetes; Tremellales; Bulleribasidiaceae
Description: eukaryotic LSU rRNA
Rfam family: Eukaryotic large subunit ribosomal RNA
Source: RNAcentral